AUGUGGCAGAGGGAUUGUUUAUGGAGUAUGAGAAGGAGGUGGCGGAGAAGGUGUGGAGAGGCAGGAGGUCUGGGGUGGUGUCACCUGGCUGUGGUGGAGGUGUUUAUGCAAGAAGGAGCCGGAGUGGAAGGAGAGGUGGAAAACAUUGAAAUAUUGGUUGUUAUCAAGGAAAGGAAAGUUUACAAAUGUUAA
This 192-nucleotide ribosomal RNA is filed under the name Triticum aestivum (bread wheat). RNAcentral's name for it is "partial small subunit ribosomal RNA". Lineage: Eukaryota; Viridiplantae; Streptophyta; Magnoliopsida; Poales; Poaceae. The record is from RNAcentral.